Molecule: ribosomal RNA, 253 nt
Filed under: uncultured bacterium
Lineage: Bacteria
Description: partial 16S ribosomal RNA
Rfam family: Bacterial small subunit ribosomal RNA
Source: RNAcentral
UACGUAGGGUGCGAGCGUUAAUCGGAAUUACUGGGCGUAAAGCGUGCGCAGGCGGUUCGUUGUGUCGGCGGUGAAAGCCCCGGGCUUAACCUGGGAAUGGCCGUUGAAACUGGCGAACUGGAGUGUGGCAGAGGGGGGUGGAAUUCCGCGUGUAGCAGUGAAAUGCGUAGAGAUGCGGAGGAACAUCGAUGGCGAAGGCAGCCCCCUGGGUUAACACUGACGCUCAGGCACGAAAGCGUGGGGAGCAAACAGG